Molecule: transfer RNA, 67 nt
Filed under: Opisthoteuthis californiana
Lineage: Eukaryota; Metazoa; Mollusca; Cephalopoda; Octopoda; Opisthoteuthidae
Description: tRNA-Cys
Source: RNAcentral
GGUUAUAUAUUUUAAAAUAUAAAAAAUUAAAUUGCAAAUUUAAAAAUACAUAUAAUUGUUAUAACUU